GUCCCAGGGAGUCCCACCAGCCUAGUGGCCAGACCUUCUGUGGGAUCACCGGACCCACCUGGAACCCCACUUGACCCAAGCCCACCUGCUGCAGCCCACUGCCUGGCCAUGACCAUCACCUACACAAGCCAAGUGGCUAAUGCCCGCUUAGGCUCCUUCUCCCGCCUGCUGCUGUGCUGGCGGGGCAGCAUCUACAAGCUGCUAUAUGGCGAGUUCUUCAUCUUCCUGCUCUGCUACUACAUCAUCCGCUUUAUUUACAGGCUGGCCCUCACGGAAGAGCAACAGCUGAUGUUUGAGAAACUGACUCUGUAUUGCGACAGCUACAUCCAGCUCAUCCCCAUUUCCUUCGUGCUGGGUGAGUUCCCCCUUCCGGCUGUUCCGGGGGAGGAUCACGAGGAGCUGCGGCAAGGGGCUGGGGUGGCGGGCGGGGGAAAGCCAGCGGCAGGUCGGCGCCUCUCUGUAGUUCAGGGAAAGGUGCGGACUGCAGCCAGAGAAACUGAAGUUAGACGUUAGCUAAGACGUCCUGCCGUUAGCAAUGAAAACCCCAUUUUCUGAGGGAAGCGCUGACAUCAUGGUCCCUGGAGCCUCUGCACGGGAGGGGAGAGGGUCUGGCGGAUUUCUGGGACCAGCAUGGGGACCCCCGGGUGACAGACCCCUUGGGGCUCUCGCGCCUCCAUGCGAGGCUCUGCCUGCCUCCCGCUCCCGAGCGCCUUCCAGGAGGGUUGGGGGCUAGGCCUGCUCGCAGCAGAAAGCUGGAGGAGCCGAGGCAUCGCCGGGUGCUGGACCCUGGGCUCUGGCCGCAGCCUGGCCCCUCGCCCCUCGCCCCCCGCCCCUCCUGCCCAGGCUUCUACGUGACGCUGGUUGUGACCCGCUGGUGGAACCAGUACGAGAACCUGCCGUGGCCCGACCGCCUCAUGAGCCUGGUGUCGGGCUUCGUCGAAGGCAAGGACGAGCAAGGCCGGCUGCUGCGGCGCACGCUUAUCCGCUAUGCCAACCUGGGCAACGUGCUCAUUCUGCGCAGCGUCAGCACCGCCGUCUACAAGCGCUUCCCCAGCGCCCAGCACCUGGUGCAAGCAGGCUUUAUGACUCCAGCAGAACAC
Molecule: small RNA, 1100 nt
Filed under: Pongo abelii (Sumatran orangutan)
Lineage: Eukaryota; Metazoa; Chordata; Mammalia; Primates; Hominidae
Description: retained intron
Source: RNAcentral